GAUGAACGCUAGCGGCAGGCUUAACACAUGCAAGUCGAGGGGUAGAGGAAGCUUGCUUCCUUGAGACCGGCGCACGGGUGCGUAACGCGUAUGCAAUCUACCUUUUGCAGAGGGAUAGCCCAGAGAAAUUUGGAUUAAUACCUCAUAGUAUGUGAGGAUGGCAUCAUUUUCACAUUAAAGUCACAACGGCAAAAGAUGAGCAUGCGUCCCAUUAGCUAGUUGGUAAGGUAACGGCUUACCAAGGCUACGAUGGGUAGGGGUCCUGAGAGGGAGAUCCCCCACACUGGUACUGAGACACGGACCAGACUCCUACGGGAGGCAGCAGUGAGGAAUAUUGGACAAUGGGCGGCAAGCCUGAUCCAGCCAUGCCGCGUGCAGGAUGACGGUCCUAUGGAUUGUAAACUGC
Molecule: ribosomal RNA, 406 nt
Filed under: uncultured bacterium
Lineage: Bacteria
Description: bacterial SSU rRNA
Rfam family: Bacterial small subunit ribosomal RNA
Source: RNAcentral